This is a long non-coding RNA of Lontra canadensis (Northern American river otter), 237 nucleotides long. RefSeq lists it as uncharacterized. The record is from RefSeq and is a predicted model, not a curated record. The transcript has 3 exons. Lineage: Eukaryota; Metazoa; Chordata; Mammalia; Carnivora; Mustelidae.
AGCAUGGAACCCACCCAGAUACAGCCUCCCAAGAUCAAGACUUCCAAACUCAGAAACACCUGGGGAGCAUCCUUCUUAAUUGAGUAUUUGGACAUAUCAAGCAACUAGAAGUACAGGAGUAUAUUGCCAUGCCCAAGAGUAUAGAAGCAAGUUGGACCAAUUUUCCUGAUGCCAGAUGGCUCAGCAGACUUUUCAGAUGUUGCUACUCUGUUGUACAUCCCAGCUUCAGUUGCUGCA